Molecule: ribosomal RNA, 365 nt
Filed under: Batrachyla leptopus (gray wood frog)
Lineage: Eukaryota; Metazoa; Chordata; Amphibia; Anura; Batrachylidae
Description: partial 12S ribosomal RNA
Rfam family: Bacterial small subunit ribosomal RNA
Source: RNAcentral
GCCUCGCCGUAAACUUUUAAUUACACCUCAAUCGCCCGGGAACUACAAGCAAAGCUUAAAACCCAAAGGACUUGACGGUACCCCAUAUCCCCCUAGAGGAGCCUGUCCUAUAAUCGAUAACCCCCGCUUAACCUCACCAUCUUUAGUUUAUCAGCCUGUAUACCUCCGUCGUCAGCUUACCACGUGAGCGAAACUUAGUGAGCUUAAUGCCCAUACACCAAUACGUCAGGUCAAGGUGCAGCAAAUGAGAUGGGAAGAGAUGGGCUACACUUUCUAGUAUAGAAAAUACGAAAGACUACCUAUGAAACCUAGUCAGAAGGCGGAUUUAGCAGUAAAAAGAAACCAGAGCGUCCUUUUUAACUUGG